AACGUAGGACACAAGCGUUAUCCGGAAUUAUUGGGCGUAAAGAGCGCGUAGGCGGUCUGAUAAGUCGGUUGUGAAAGUCGGGGGCUCAACCCUCGGAUGCCGAUCGAUACUGUCAGGCUAGAGUCCGGAAGAGGCGAGUGGAAUUCCUGGUGUAGCGGUGAAAUGCGCAGAUAUCAGGAAGAACACCCGUGGCGAAGGCGGCUCUCUGGGACGGUACUGACGCUGAGACGCGAAAGCGUGGGGAGCGAACAGG
RNAcentral lists this ribosomal RNA (253 nucleotides) under uncultured bacterium. RNAcentral describes it as "partial 16S ribosomal RNA". It matches the Rfam family "Bacterial small subunit ribosomal RNA", at positions 524 to 776 of the family's 1533-position model. The record is from RNAcentral.